UACAUAUACAUCUCACUAGAAGAAAUGAGAGCUGUGGCUGACUACAUUAGACGUGAAGGUAGGGUGAGUAUCUCACACUUAGCUAGCAAGUCUAAUCAAUUCAUUGAUUUGGAACCAAAAGUUGAGUUAGUUGAGGAUAUAGGCAGCAUCGAGGAGGAGGCAGUUGUUGCUUCAGCUUAAUAAACUUGUUGUAUGACUAAUUUUAAGAAAAA
RNAcentral lists this unclassified non-coding RNA (212 nucleotides) under Hevea brasiliensis (rubber tree). Lineage: Eukaryota; Viridiplantae; Streptophyta; Magnoliopsida; Malpighiales; Euphorbiaceae. The record is from RNAcentral.